This is a long non-coding RNA of Spinacia oleracea (spinach), 489 nucleotides long. RefSeq lists it as uncharacterized. NCBI's taxonomy places the organism in Eukaryota, Viridiplantae, Streptophyta, Magnoliopsida, Caryophyllales, Amaranthaceae. The record is from RefSeq and is a predicted model, not a curated record. The transcript is spliced from 2 exons.
UUGUCAGCCGACAUAUAUAUAAAUCAAAUGGAACUCGACAUAUAAACAUAGUUCUUACUCUCUCUAUCCCGUCGGCUACUCUUAUCUCUCUCAUCUUUCUUCCAAUUUUGUUCUUAAGUUCACUUUAAGUUCACUUUGUUUUUGCUAAUUCAUAAAAAGUAUACGAAGUACUUCUCCUUUGCUUCUUGUUUGUAGAUUUGUUUCCUCAAAUAUGCUCUCCUUUUCUCUUCUUUCUUUAAGGUAGUCUAUUUUGUAAGAGGGUGUUGAGUGCUUCAUGGUUGGAUGAUGUUGGAACGUUUGGAAGAACAUGAAGAUUUUUACAAAACUUAAAAGUCACUCUAGUAAUUAUUUGUAACCUAAGGUUUUUGAACUAUUAUUAUUUGGUUUCUAACAUAUAGAAUCCGAUUGAUUUAGGAAAAACGAUAUUUUGUUGUUCAUUAAUUGAUUUAAUGAAUUUAUUAAUGGUUAUUGAGUUAGUAUUUCUCUCAA